Molecule: ribosomal RNA, 253 nt
Filed under: uncultured bacterium
Lineage: Bacteria
Description: partial 16S ribosomal RNA
Rfam family: Bacterial small subunit ribosomal RNA
Source: RNAcentral
UACGUAGGGUGCGAGCGUUGUCCGGAAUUAUUGGGCGUAAAGAGCUCGUAGGCGGUUUGUCGCGUCGGCCGUGAAAACUUGGGGCUUAACCCCAAGCCUGCGGUCGAUACGGGCAGACUUGAGUUCGGCAAGGGAGACUGGAAUUCCUGGUGUAGCGGUGAAAUGCGCAGAUAUCAGGAGGAACACCGGUGGCGAAGGCGGGUCUCUGGGCCGAUACUGACGCUGAGGAGCGAAAGCGUGGGGAGCGAACAGG